AGAGUUUGAUCAUGGCUCAGAUUGAACGCUGGCGGCAUGCUUUACACAUGCAAGUCGAACGGCAGCGGGGGCUUCGGCCUGCCGGCGAGUGGCGAACGGGUGAGUAAUGCAUCGGAACGUGCCCAUGUCGUGGGGGAUAACGUAUCGAAAGGUACGCUAAUACCGCAUACAUCCUGAGGGAGAAAGCGGGGGAUCGCAAGGCCUCACGUUAUUCGAGCGGCCGACGUCUGAUUAGCUAGUUGGUGGGGUAAUGGCUCACCAAGGCGACGAUCAGUAGCGGGUCUGAGAGGAUGAUCCGCCACACUGGGACUGAGACACGGCCCAGACUCCUACGGGAGGCAGCAGUGGGGAAUUUUGGACAAUGGGCGCAAGCCUGAUCCAGCCAUUCCGCGUGAGUGAAGAAGGCCUUCGGGUUGUAAAGCUCUUUCGGCAGGAACGAAACGGCGGGCUCUAACAUAGCCUGUUAAUGACGGUACCUGCAGAAGAAGCACCGGCUAACUACGUGCCAGCAGCCGCGGUAAUACGUAGGGUGCGAGCGUUAAUCGGAAUUACUGGGCGUAAAGCGUGCGCAGGCGGAUUGUUAAGCAAGACGUGAAAUUCCCCGGGCUUAACCUGGGAAUGGCGUUUUGAACUGGCAGUCUAGAGUGCGUCAGAGGGGGGUGGAAUUCCACGUGUAGCAGUGAAAUGCGUAGAGAUGUGGAGGAACACCGAUGGCGAAGGCAGCCCCCUGGGCCUGUACUGACGCUCAUGCACGAAAGCGUGGGGAGCAAAGAGGAUUAGAUACCCUGGUAGUCCACGCCCUAAACGAUGUCGACUAGUCGUUCGGAGCAGCAAUGCACUGAGUGACGCAGCUAACGCGUGAAGUCGACCGCCUGGGGAGUACGGCCGCAAGGUUAAAACUCAAAGGAAUUGACGGGGACCCGCACAAGCGGUGGAUGAUGUGGAUUAAUUCGAUGCAACGCGAAAAACCUUACCUACCCUUGACAUGUCUGGAACCUUGCUGAGAGGCGAGGGUGCCUUCGGGAGCCAGAACACAGGUGCUGCAUGGCUGUCGUCAGCUCGUGUCGUGAGAUGUUGGGUUAAGUCCCGCAACGAGCGCAACCCUUGUCACUAGUUGCCAUCAUUUAGUUGGGCACUCUAGUGAGACUGCCGGUGACAAACCGGAGGAAGGUGGGGAUGACGUCAAGUCCUCAUGGCCCUUAUGGGUAGGGCUUCACACGUCAUACAAUGGUCGGUACAGAGGGUUGCCAAGCCGCGAGGUGGAGCCAAUCCCUUAAAGCCUAUCGUAGUCCGGAUCGUAGUCUGCAACUCGACUACGUGAAGUCGGAAUCGCUAGUAAUCGCAGAUCAGCAUGCUGCGGUGAAUACGUUCCCGGGUCUUGUACACACCGCCCGUCACACCAUGGGAGUGGGUUUCACCAGAAGUAGGUAGCUUAACCGCAAGGAGGGCGCUUACCACUUUGUGGCCGAUGACUGGGGUGAAGUCGUAACAAGGUAGCC
Molecule: ribosomal RNA, 1499 nt
Filed under: uncultured bacterium
Lineage: Bacteria
Description: bacterial SSU rRNA
Rfam family: Bacterial small subunit ribosomal RNA
Source: RNAcentral